GCUACGUUAGAAUUUGGUAAUCACACAGUAACUCGUGUAGGUGUGAUUUAUAGGCCCCCAGGACAAAUUGAAGAGUUAGAUAAUCUACUAGUUGAGGAAAUAGCUAAAAUGACAAUGAGGGGGGAAGUUAUCAUCAUGGGUGACUUUAAUCUUCCUGAUGUAAAUUGGAAAACAAAAUUAGCUACUUGUGCCAGGAGCACACAUAUUCUAAACUCCCUACUGGGAUUGUCUCUAAAACAAGUUGUUGAGGAGCCAACUCGUAAAGAGGCCAUGCUAGAUUUAGUGUUAACAAAUGGAGAUUUGGUAUCAGAUAUUACUGUAGGUGAAAGUUUAGGAUCCAGUGAUCAUCAGUCAGUGUGGUUUAAUAUAAGAACAGUGACUGAGUCACACCACACAAAAACAAAAGUUUUAGACUUUAGAAAAACAGACUUUUCUAAAAUUAGAAUAUGGGUAGAGGAGUCAUUAUCAGACUGGAG
This is a non-coding RNA of Pelobates cultripes (western spadefoot toad), 476 nucleotides long. The record is from the annotation of a GenBank genome assembly. Lineage: Eukaryota; Metazoa; Chordata; Amphibia; Anura; Pelobatidae.